Molecule: ribosomal RNA, 515 nt
Filed under: uncultured bacterium
Lineage: Bacteria
Description: bacterial SSU rRNA
Rfam family: Bacterial small subunit ribosomal RNA
Source: RNAcentral
AAUAGAUACCCUGGUAGUCCACGCCCUAAACGAUGACGACUGGAUGUCGGAGGGGUCUGCCUUUCGGUGUCGUAGCUAACGCGUUAAGUCGUCCGCCUGGGGAGUACGGCCGCAAAGUUGAAACUCAAAGGAAUUGACGGGGACCCGCACAAGCGGUGGAGCAUGUGGUUCAAUUCGAUGCAACGCGAAGAACCUUACCUGGCCUUGACAUCCGCGGAACUCGGCAGAAAUGCCUUGGUGCCUUCGGGAAUCGCGAGACAGGUGCUGCAUGGCUGUCGUCAGCUCGUGUCGUGAGGUGUUGGGUUAAGUCCCGCAACGAGCGCAACCCUCGUCGUGUGUUGGAUUUCUCGACACGAGACUGCCCGGUAGCAACCGGGAGGAAGGCGGGGAUGACGUCAAGUCAGCAUGGCUCUUACGUCCUGGGCUACUCGCACGCUACAAUGGGCAGUACAGACCGUUGCGAUACCGCGAGGUGGAGCUAAUCGGACAAAACUGUCCUCAGUACGGAUUGCAGG